This 1323-nucleotide long non-coding RNA is filed under the name Homo sapiens (human). Its description in RNAcentral is "HSALNT0251099". The record is from RNAcentral. Lineage: Eukaryota; Metazoa; Chordata; Mammalia; Primates; Hominidae.
UCCUGGCUCCAGGGCUCAGCCCUGCCCACUUCUGGAGAAUUCCAUGACUCAGGUAACAGAGGAGGGGCCUAGCCAGUCUCAGAGCCAAGGUCACACCGCCCUACACCUUGCUGUCCCCACAGCAUCUGCAGGAGGAGCAUGCCAGGACCAGAGACCCAGGGAGCAGCCUCACCAGAGGGAAAAGAGCCUGUAGAGUGGUGAGCUCAGGCCGGAGUGCAGUGACAUGAUACGGCCCUCCCCAGCCUCUACCUCCUGGGCUCAAGAGAUCCUCCUGCCGCGGACUUCCUGGUAGCUGGGAUGAGGGGUAACGGGAAUGGCAGGACUGUGGUUGAGCUUUGGGAGCCCGGGAAGGAAGGAUACUGGAGCUGGGCUGAUCCAGGACAGCUUCCUGGAGGAGGCGGGAUUUAAACUGGUCAAUGAGAAUUUGCCAUUUGCUUCAAUUGGGCACCUGAAGGCAUCAGUAAUCUGGUUUCACCUCGGACCACAUUCAGGCUCCACGAAACCCUUCUGGGUGUGAGGUACAGAGCUCAGCACGCUGCUGGUCCUUAAAAAAAGAACCACAUGAGGGCAAUAAUCACGAGAGGACUGUGGUGCUAUGUGAAGAAGAAAUGAAACUCAUCCAUGAUAAUGGAGAUGAAAAUCCUAGUUCUUAGGACGGCCUCAAACUUUAGAAAACCUCACACGGACUCAGGGAGAAGAGAGGGGCUAGGUGGGUGUGCAGAGUCCCCCAGUGGCUUGUUUUCAUUGGAAUAAUAACAUCUUACAUUUCGAUGUGGUAAUGUCGCUGUUAAAACGCACUUCUCAUUGUUAGAAAUAAAAAUGACUCAAAGAUGUGAAAGCUUUUCUCCAUUCAGUGACUUACAUGGGGGUUUUCCCAUGAAGGCCUUAGGAGAGGCUGUGAGGCAGCUUAUGCAAGGCUGCUUUCCGCAUCUCUAAGGAGGGUGGAAUGGGAAAUAAAACCAAUAAACUGUAAACUGCUCUCAGAAGAAUUCCUUCCAGCUGAAUUACAGAAACUUAGGCAAGGCUGCUACUAAGUUUAUGGGCUAGCAGUAAGUUUUCCUGCCCUCAUGGCUUUGGGGAAACUCUGAUGACUAUUCCGCUAGAAGGAGUAAUGAGUCAAAGACUGCCCUUAAAUCCUGCAAAAGAGGAUCUGGAAAAAAUACCUGGCACCCCCAUGACUAUCCUUCCCACCACCUGGUACAACCAGAAGUGAAAAUGCCUCAAGUUGAUGUUGAAACAAUAACUCAUCUCACCCUCCACAAAGGCACAGGACAUCUCUCAGCAACAGAGAUCUUUCCUCUAAUCGGAAAGUACACUCUUUGG